GGGUUGUGAGGUUAAGCGACUAAGCGUACACGGUGGAUGCCCUGGCAGUCAGAGGCGAUGAAGGGCGUGCUAAUCUGCGAUAAGCGCCGGUAAGGUGAUAUGAACCGUUAUAACCGGCGAUACCCGAAUGGGGAAACCCAGUGUGAUUCGUCACACUAUCAUUAACUGAAUCCAUAGGUUAAUGAGGCGAACCGGGGGAACUGAAACAUCUAAGUACCCCGAGGAAAAGAAAUCAACCGAGAUUCCCCCAGUAGCGGCGAGCGAACGGGGAGGAGCCCAGAGCCUGAAUCAGCAUGUGUGUUAGUGGAAGCGUCUGGAAAGGCGCGCGAUACAGGGUGACAGCCCCGUACACAAAAGCGCAUGUGCUGUGAGCUCGAUGAGUAGGGCGGGACACGUGGUAUCCUGUCUGAAUAUGGGGGGACCAUCCUCCAAGGCUAAAUACUCCUGACUGACCGAUAGUGAACCAGUACCGUGAGGGAAAGGCGAAAAGAACCCCGGCGAGGGGAGUGAAAAAGAACCUGAAACCGUGUACGUACAAGCAGUGGGAGCACCCUUUUGGGUGUGACUGCGUACCUUUUGUAUAAUGGGUCAGCGACUUAUAUUCUGUAGCAAGGUUAACCGAAUAGGGGAGCCGGAGGGAAACCGAGUCUUAAUUGGGCGUUAAGUUGCAGGGUAUAGACCCGAAACCCGGUGAUCUAGCCAUGGGCAGGUUGAAGGUUGGGUAACACUAACUGGAGGACCGAACCGACUAAUGUUGAAAAAUUAGCGGAUGACCUGUGGCUGGGGGUGAAAGGCCAAUCAAACCGGGAGAUAGCUGGUUCUCCCCGAAAGCUAUUUAGGUAGCGCCUCGUGAAUUCAUCUCCGGGGGUAGAGCACUGUUUCGGCUAGGGGGCCAUCCCGGCUUACCAACCCGAUGCAAACUGCGAAUACCGGAGAAUGUUAUCACGGGAGACACACGGCGGGUGCUAACGUCCGUCGUGAAGAGGGAAACAACCCAGACCGCCAGCUAAGGUCCCAAAGUCAUGGUUAAGUGGGAAACGAUGUGGGAAGGCCCAGACAGCCAGGAUGUUGGCUUAGAAGCAGCCAUCAUUUAAAGAAAGCGUAAUAGCUCACUGGUCGAGUCGGCCUGCGCGGAAGAUGUAACGGGGCUAAACCAUGCACCGAAGCUGCGGCAGCGACGUUUAUGCGUUGUUGGGUAGGGGAGCGUUCUGUAAGCCUGCGAAGGUGGCCUGUGAGGGUUGCUGGAGGUAUCAGAAGUGCGAAUGCUGACAUAAGUAACGAUAAAGCGGGUGAAAAGCCCGCUCGCCGGAAGACCAAGGGUUCCUGUCCAACGUUAAUCGGGGCAGGGUGAGUCGACCCCUAAGGCGAGGCCGAAAGGCGUAGUCGAUGGGAAACGGGUUAAUAUUCCCGUACUUGGUGUUACUGCGAAGGGGGGACGGAGAAGGCUAUGUUGGCCGGGCGACGGUU
Molecule: ribosomal RNA, 1467 nt
Filed under: Salmonella enterica subsp. enterica serovar Bareilly
Lineage: Bacteria; Pseudomonadati; Pseudomonadota; Gammaproteobacteria; Enterobacterales; Enterobacteriaceae
Description: partial 23S ribosomal RNA
Rfam family: Bacterial large subunit ribosomal RNA
Source: RNAcentral